Long non-coding RNA from Erinaceus europaeus (western European hedgehog), 765 nucleotides. RefSeq lists it as uncharacterized. The transcript is spliced from 3 exons. NCBI's taxonomy places the organism in Eukaryota, Metazoa, Chordata, Mammalia, Eulipotyphla, Erinaceidae. The record is from RefSeq and is a predicted model, not a curated record.
GAAAGUAUGUGUCACAGAAUUGCCUUGUGUGGCACUGAAACAGUGCAGAGGAAAUGCCUUCCUCCUUGAUGAAAGAAGCUUGGAAUUUCAAGGAAUUGAUCGGUAUUUGAAGGAAAGAAACAAAAAACAAUUAUCUGUGCAUACCUGCACUCUUCCUAGGUGAAGAUAGUUUUACAGCUGUCAUCUUGAGCUCAUCAAUACUCAUCUCUAGGAUAAACUUAAUACCAAACAGUAGAUCUAGGAGGAUUGGUCUAUUGUGCUAUGAGAAACGGACUGGGCUCGAUCUUUAAAAACUGCUUUCCUUUUUGAGGAUACUACACACUGGAAUCAGCUCCUUGCAAAACAGAUAUUGUGGCCAAAUUUCCUCUCCUUGUUUAUUGAGAUAAUUAAACCAUUAUUCUGAAAUACUAAGGAACUCAUCCAAGGUUCCAGAUGCUACAAUGAUGCCAACCUGGACAUCCCUGGACAGAUGACCCUACCAAUGUGUCCUGGAGUUCUGAUUCCCCAGAUCCCCACCCCACUAGGGGAAGAGAGAGACAGGCUGGGAGUAUGGAUCUACCUGCCAAUACCCAUGUUCUUCGGUGGAGCAAUUCCAGAAGCCAGACCUUCCACCUUCUGCACCCCAUGAUGACCCUGGGUCCAUACUUCCAGAAGGAUAAAGAAUAAGAAAGCUAUCAGGGGAGGGAGUUCUGGUGGUGGGAAUUGUGUGGAAUUAUACCUAUGAUCUUGUCAGUGUUUCUAGUUUAUAAAUAAAAAUUUUAAAAA